AGUGCUGAAAGCAUCUAAGCACGAAACUUGCCCCGAGAUGAGUUCUCCCUGAGACUAUAAGUCUCCUGAAGGAACGUUGAAGACGACGACGUUGAUAGGUCGGGUGUGUAAGCGUAGCGAUACGUUGAGCUAACCGGUACUAAUGAACCGUGAGGCUUAACCUUACAACGCCGAAG
RNAcentral lists this ribosomal RNA (176 nucleotides) under Salmonella enterica. Its description in RNAcentral is "partial 23S ribosomal RNA". It matches the Rfam family "Bacterial large subunit ribosomal RNA", at positions 2767 to 2925 of the family's 2925-position model. Lineage: Bacteria; Pseudomonadati; Pseudomonadota; Gammaproteobacteria; Enterobacterales; Enterobacteriaceae. The record is from RNAcentral.